AGUUCGGAUUNAAGGCUGAAAUUCGCCUUCAUGAAGCUGGAAUUGCUAGUAAUGGCAGGUCAGCAUACUGCCGUGAAUACGUUCCCGGGCCUUGUACACACCGCCCGUCACACCAUGAGAGUUGGGAAUACCCGAAGCCUGUGAGCUAACUUUUAGAGGCAGCAGUCGAAGGUAGAAUCAAUGAUUGGGGUGAAGUCGUAACAAGGUAGC
Molecule: ribosomal RNA, 210 nt
Filed under: uncultured bacterium
Lineage: Bacteria
Description: partial 16S ribosomal RNA
Rfam family: Bacterial small subunit ribosomal RNA
Source: RNAcentral